AGGGGUGUAGUCUAGUGGUAAAGUGCUUGCCUGGCAUGCAUGAGGUCCUGGAUUCAAUCCCUAGCACCACAA
This 72-nucleotide transfer RNA is filed under the name Ictidomys tridecemlineatus (thirteen-lined ground squirrel). Its description in RNAcentral is "Spermophilus tridecemlineatus (thirteen-lined ground squirrel) tRNA". It matches the Rfam family "tRNA". Rfam says of the family: Transfer RNA (tRNA) molecules are approximately 80 nucleotides in length. Their secondary structure includes four short double-helical elements and three loops (D, anti-codon, and T loops). Further hydrogen bonds mediate the characteristic L-shaped molecular structure. tRNAs have two regions of fundamental functional importance: the anti-codon, which is responsible for specific mRNA codon recognition, and the 3' end, to which the tRNAs corresponding amino acid is attached (by aminoacyl-tRNA synthetases). tRNAs cope with the degeneracy of the genetic code in two manners: having more than one tRNA (with a specific anti-codon) for a particular amino acid; and 'wobble' base-pairing, i.e. permitting non-standard base-pairing at the 3rd anti-codon position. Lineage: Eukaryota; Metazoa; Chordata; Mammalia; Rodentia; Sciuridae. The record is from Rfam by way of RNAcentral.